This 351-nucleotide transfer-messenger RNA is filed under the name Spirochaeta isovalerica. It matches the Rfam family "transfer-messenger RNA". Rfam says of the family: Bacterial tmRNA, also known as 10Sa RNA or SsrA, is named for its dual tRNA and mRNA-like properties. Its role is to liberate the mRNA from a stalled ribosome. RNAcentral also lists the same sequence under 1 other name. Lineage: Bacteria; Pseudomonadati; Spirochaetota; Spirochaetia; Spirochaetales; Spirochaetaceae. The record is from Rfam by way of RNAcentral.
GGGGGUGCCCCGGUUUCGACUGAAGGAUUGUCGGGGGAUAGGCUGCAAGUAGAGCGUUAACUCUUUAAACUGGCAAAAACUAUAAAUGCUGAAGAAAACGAAUCUUUUGCAAUGGCUGCUUAGUUAGCCGACGGAUCCGGAACCUGCUGUUCCUAAGGAACUGGAAUCCGACAACAAUAGGAACUUACUGGUGCUAUAGUCCGGGAUAGUAUCAGGACAUUUUUCCGGUCUCAGGGUAAUGAGGUCUGUGGCUUCACCUAACGUUAUCCGAAAUAAUAUGAAGCGACUAAACUUGUAGAGGUUUAUUUCACGCCCUUUAGGACGCGGGUUCGAUUCCCGCCACCUCCAAAA